This 440-nucleotide ribosomal RNA is filed under the name uncultured bacterium. RNAcentral describes it as "partial 16S ribosomal RNA". It matches the Rfam family "Bacterial small subunit ribosomal RNA", at positions 338 to 795 of the family's 1533-position model. The record is from RNAcentral.
CCUACGGGAGGCAGCAGUGGGGAAUAUUGCACAAUGGGGGAAACCCUGAUGCAGCGACGCCGCGUGAGUGAAGAAGUACUUCGGUAUGUAAAGCUCUUUCAGCAGGGAAGAAAAUGACGGUACCUGACCAAGAAGCCCCGGCCAACUACGUGCCAGCAGCCGUGGUAAUACGUAGGGGGCAAGCGUUAUCCGGAUUUACUGGGUGUAAAGGGAGCGUAGACGGCAGGGCAAGUCUGGAGUGAAAGGCGGGGGCUCAACCCCCGGACUGCUCUGGAAACUGCCAGGCUGGAGUGCAGGAGAGGUAAGUGGAAUUCCUAGUGUAGCGGUGAAAUGCGUAGAUAUUAGGAAGAACACCAGUGGCGAAGGCGGCUUACUGGACUGUAACUGACGUUGAGGCUCGAAAGCGUGGGGAGCAAACAGGAUUAGAUACCCUGGUAGUC